GGUGGCAAAAGAUGAAUGUUUAUAUUAUCCUACACUCUGAAAAAACCGUGUGGAUUUUAAUUUCGCUUAUUGAUAUUCUGAUGCCAUU
This is a small nucleolar RNA of Hibiscus syriacus, 88 nucleotides long. RefSeq annotates it as small nucleolar RNA R16. Lineage: Eukaryota; Viridiplantae; Streptophyta; Magnoliopsida; Malvales; Malvaceae. The transcript has a single exon. The record is from RefSeq and is a predicted model, not a curated record.